This 371-nucleotide small RNA is filed under the name Pan troglodytes (chimpanzee). Its description in RNAcentral is "retained intron". Lineage: Eukaryota; Metazoa; Chordata; Mammalia; Primates; Hominidae. The record is from RNAcentral.
CAGGUAUCGUGGGAGGCAUUGGCAUAGAUGUGUUCUGAUUGUCGGCCAAAACACCGGGCUCACGGAAAUGCAGGUGCUGUUUGCUUCAGGAGAGCAUUCUCUGGAUGCCCUCCCAUGCACACAUGCCUGGGGGGUGCUCACCUCCGCCCAGCCCUGAGCUUCUGAGGCCAGAGACUCAAGGGCCCAGGGAAGGGUGGCUACAGUGAGCCUGGGCCGUGAACAUUCACCCCUUUUAUUGCCUUCAGAGGGCUCCUGCCACAGCAGAUGAAGCAAGGAAGUUGGAGGAGGCCAAGUCAAGAGGCUCCCUGGUGGAUUUCAUUAAACGGUUUCCAUGCAUCUUUCUGAGGCUCCUGAUGAACCCACUCUUCGUC